Molecule: ribosomal RNA, 653 nt
Filed under: bacterium WP1ISO6
Lineage: Bacteria
Description: bacterial SSU rRNA
Rfam family: Bacterial small subunit ribosomal RNA
Source: RNAcentral
UCGAGCGGAAACGAGAAGGUGCUUGCACCUUCGGCGUCGAGCGGCGGACGGGUGAGUAAUGGCUGGGUACCUGCCCUGAUGUGGGGGAUAACAGUUGGAAACGACUGCUAAUACCGCAUAACGUCUACGGACCAAAGAGGGGGAUCUUCGGACCUCUCGCGUCAGGAUGGGCCCAGUUGGGAUUAGCUAGUUGGUGAGGUAAUGGCUCACCAAGGCGACGAUCCCUAGCUGGUUUGAGAGGAUGAUCAGCCACACUGGAACUGAGACACGGUCCAGACUCCUACGGGAGGCAGCAGUGGGGAAUAUUGCACAAUGGGGGAAACCCUGAUGCAGCCAUGCCGCGUGUGUGAAGAAGGCCUUCGGGUUGUAAAGCACUUUCAGCUGUGAGGAAGGGUGAGUCGUUAAUAGCGGUUCAUCUUGACGUUAGCAGCAGAAGAAGCACCGGCUAACUCCGUGCCAGCAGCCGCGGUAAUACGGAGGGUGCGAGCGUUAAUCGGAAUUACUGGGCGUAAAGCGCAUGCAGGCGGUCUGUUAAGCAAGAUGUGAAAGCCCCGGGCUCAACCUGGGAAAGUCAUUUUGAACUGGCAGGCUAGAGUCUUGUAGAGGGGGGUAGAAUUUCAGGUGUAGCGGUGAAAUGCGUAGAGAUCUGAAGG